AAAAAAUUUAAAUAAUUUUUUAAAAGAUAAUUACCUAUAUAUAUAUAUAUAUAUAUAUACUUCAAAAUUUUCGAAAUAUUUUAUAUAUCUUUUUACUUUCUUGUUUCAAAUAUACUUCUUGCAUAUUUUUUCGUUAUUUAAAAAUAAUUUUAUCAUUAGUACCAGUCAUUUCGGAUUAAAUCUGAAUUAAAAUUCAACCAGUUAAAAAAAAUCAAAAUAUCUUUUCUACUACAGUAGAUGGAUAUAUUUAAAAGAAUAUAAUAAUAAUUUUACAAAAAUAAUGAUUAUUUUUAAUAAUUCAUUAAUAAGAUAUAAUUGGUUGAUAAAUAAUUCAAAAAUUUUGAUAAGUUUAGAUUUAUUUUUGUCAAGUUUAUCUCUUAAUAUUUUGUUCGUUAGACAUAAGAUAUAAGUUUAAAUCUUAUUCAAUUAUUGUUACUAGGAUUUUGUUUUAUGCACUACUACAUGUACAAGAUUUAGUGGCGACACCAAAAAGUAGUGAUUUAUGCGCCACCGAAAAGUCGCCACUAAAAAUUACUUUUGUUGUAGUGAUGCUAUAUAUAAACUACAGUAAAUGUGUGAAAAAUUAAUCCGCCACUGAUAUUUAGUCCAAUAAUAUUUAAUAAAGCUUUUAGCUUAAUACUCCUCUCCUUCCAACAAGUAGCAUGAGAGUUCGAAAGUACCAUGCGACUUCUUAGCAAGUAUUAUCUGUUUAGUUAUUUGUUUAGAUAUUUUUUUUCUCCUUCAAUAUUUUUUUAUAUAUUAUUUUAUUCGAUUUUAAACUUUGAAUUAUAUAUAUAAUUGAUAUCAGUAAAAAUACCGAUUCGAAUAAUAACUGCAGGAAUAGUUUUAAAAGAAUUUUAAAUUUCAAAUUUUGAAAUUUCAAAGUUAAAAUUUUAAUUUUAAAAAUUUUAAAAAUUCAAAUUUAAAUAUAAUAAAAGAUCAAUAUCAUUAUUUUUUUAUUUAUAAAAAUUCACUAUCUUUUUUAUUCCAUCUUAUCUAACCAAAAGUUUUUUUUUUUAUUUCCAAGAAUAACUCAAUUUUCAUCCAAACGUAAAAUUGAUCUAAUCUCCGUUUAUACCUCAAUUUAUAUCUUUUUCUGAAAUAGUCAUUUUUUACUUAUUCCCGAACCAAACUGGUGCUUGCAAACGAUACCCAAGCACCAGUUUGGUUCGGAGUUAAGGAAUGGAAUAACUCCUUAAUCCCGAAGUUAUUCCUAAGCAUCCAAUUUGGGAGGUGGGGUUAGCUAAUCCAACACCAAAUGGGCUAUUCUGGAAUAGUCCAUUUAGGGUGGGGUUAGCUAAUUUCACCCCACCCCACUACUCUAACUAAAUACUAUUUUAUUUAUAUCUGGACUAAACUCAAUUUUCAACCAAACAUAAAAUUAUUCUAAUUCUAAUUUAAUUCUGAACUUAACUCUAUUUCUGAAAUAAUAAAUUUUUACUUAACUCCGAAUCAAACGGUGGCAAACCGACU
RNAcentral lists this long non-coding RNA (1473 nucleotides) under Ananas comosus (pineapple). Its description in RNAcentral is "long non-coding RNA (ACOM_LNC028504)". Lineage: Eukaryota; Viridiplantae; Streptophyta; Magnoliopsida; Poales; Bromeliaceae. The record is from RNAcentral.